UGUGUCCUUGGACAAGACACUUCAACUGCAUUGUCUCAGUCCACUCAGCUGUUAAAAAGAGUACUAACCUUGGCUGAAGAAGUAAUACGUGAUGGUCUAGUG
Thalassophryne amazonica is the source of this 102-nucleotide long non-coding RNA. RefSeq lists it as uncharacterized. The transcript has 3 exons. NCBI's taxonomy places the organism in Eukaryota, Metazoa, Chordata, Actinopteri, Batrachoidiformes, Batrachoididae. The record is from RefSeq and is a predicted model, not a curated record.